UAUUUUUAUAGUGUAUAAAACACAUAACAUUUUCAGUGUUAAAUAGCCAAUGCUAAAAAUAACC
This 64-nucleotide transfer RNA is filed under the name Ornithodoros compactus. Its description in RNAcentral is "tRNA-Glu". The record is from RNAcentral. Lineage: Eukaryota; Metazoa; Arthropoda; Arachnida; Ixodida; Argasidae.